GAUGAACGCUGGCGGCGUGCUUAACACAUGCAAGUCGAACGGAAAGGCCCAAGCUUGCUUGGGUACUCGAGUGGCGAACGGGUGAGUAACACGUGGGUGAUCUGCCCUGCACUUCGGGAUAAGCCUGGGAAACUGGGUCUAAUACCGGAUAGGAGCACUUCUUGGAUGGUGGGGUGGAGAGUGUUUUCGGUGUGGGAUGAGCUCGCGGGCUAUAGGCUUGUUGGGGGGGGAAUGGCCUACCAAGGCGUCGACGGGUGGCCGGCCUGAGAGGGGGUACGGCCACAUUAGGACUUAGAUACGGCCCCGACUCCUACGGGAGGCAGCAGUGGGGAAUAUUGACCAAUGGGCGCAAGCCUGAUGCAGCGACGCCGCGGGGCGGAUGACGGCCUUCGGGUUGUAAACCCCUUUCGCUAGGGACGAAGCGUUUUGUGACGGUACCUGGAGAAGAAGCACCGGCUAACUACGUG
Molecule: ribosomal RNA, 467 nt
Filed under: uncultured bacterium
Lineage: Bacteria
Description: partial 16S ribosomal RNA
Rfam family: Bacterial small subunit ribosomal RNA
Source: RNAcentral